GAGAUUGCGUCGACGCGGAUCCCGAAAAGGGCGUCGAUCCGUCGCGACAGCGGGACGGUGGUCAUGGAAGUCGAAAUCCGCUAAGAAGCGUGUAAAAACGUACCCGCCCAACGGAUCGGCCCCGAAAAUUGAUGGCGCUCGAACGCAACCCUCGAACCCCGCCGACGGAGGCUAGGGGAGGCCCCGUCGAGUAGGCGGACGCGCGGGUCGCUUCGACGCUCUCGCGCGAGCGGGGGCGGAGCGGCCCGUGGUGCAGAUCUUGGUGGUAGUAGCGAUCACCCAGGCGAGAACCCUGAGGGCCGAAGUGGAGAAGGGUUUCUCGAGAACGGCACUCGCUCGAGAGUUAGUCGAUCCUAAGCUGCCGGCGGCAGCCACGAAACGGUCGAUCGGGCGCGAGCCCGGCAGCCACGACCGGGCAGCGAAAGGGAAUUGGGAACCUCCUUCCCAAACCCGGAACCGGAACGAGGGCGGCGACGCGAACGAAACGGCCGCGGAGACGGCGGCCGCGGCCCCGG
RNAcentral lists this ribosomal RNA (515 nucleotides) under uncultured eukaryote. RNAcentral's name for it is "eukaryotic LSU rRNA". It matches the Rfam family "Eukaryotic large subunit ribosomal RNA", at positions 1191 to 1683 of the family's 3401-position model. The record is from RNAcentral.